CAACAACCGCCCAAGGGCUGAGGAGUGCGGGCGCACAGCGUGGGACUGGCAGACAGCUCCACCUGCAGCCCCCGGGCGGGAUCCACUGAGUGAAGCCAGCUGGGCUCUUGAGUCUGGUGGGGACUUGGAGAAUCUUUAUGUCUAGCUAAGGGAUUGUAAAUACACCAAUCAGCACUCUGUAUCUAGCUCAAGGUUUGUAAAUGCACCAAUCAGCACUCUGUGUCUAGCUGAUCUGGUGGGGACUUGGAGAACAUUUAUGUCUAGCUAAGGGAUUGUGAAUACACCAAUCAGCACUCUGUAUCUAGCUCAAGGUUUGUAAAUGCACCAAUCAGCACCCUGUGUCUAGCUAAUCUGGUGGGGACUUGGAGAACCUUUGUGUCUAGCUCAGGAUUGUAAACGCACCAAUCAGCACCCUGUCAAAACAGACCAAUCAGCUCUCUGUAAAACAGACCAAUCAGCUCUCUGUAAAAUGGGCCAAUCAGCAGGAUGUGGGUGGAGCCAGAUAAGGGAAGAAAAGCAGGCUCUCCGAGCUAGCGGUGGCAAUCUGUUAGGGUUUGUGUCUGUCGUGUGGAAGCUUUGUUCAUUCGUCUUUUGCAAUAAAUCUUGCUACUGCUCAGUCUUUGGGUCCACACUGCUUUUAUGAGCUGUAGCAGUCACCACGAAGGUCUGCAGCUGCACUCCUGAGGCUAGCGAGACCACGAACCCACCGGGAGGAGCGAACGACUCCAGACGCGCUGACUUAAGAGCUGUAACAGCUUACCGCUAAGGUCUGCAGCUUCACUCCUGAGCCAGAGAGACCAGGAACCCACCUAGAAGGAACAAACUCCGGACAUGCCGCCUUUAAGAGCUGUAACACUCACCGCCAGGGUCCGCAGCUGCAUUCUUGAAGUCAGUGAGACCAAGAACCCACCAAUUCCAGACACACUGUCAUCAAAAAGUGGGAUAUCUUUUUAAACAGAGAUAACAUUGCAGAAUCUUGGAGUUGGAAAUAGACCUCAGCUGGGGUUUAGUCCUGUUUUCUCCUCAGAGCAGAAGUCCUGGGAUGCCGUUCUGGACUGAUUGUCAGUUUUUUCUCCUGUCCUUGAGCUAUUCUAAUGCCAGACAUCUGUGGCUUUACACAGCCAGGCUUUCAGUUAGAGAACUUGGUUAGCUCAGGUCAACAAAUGCUGCUCUGAGAACACUGACUCCCAUGUGGGGAGACUCUGCACCUGGAGCUCCGGGAGAGCCGGCUCAGGCCUCUUCCUGCUAUCCAGGGAACUGCAGUGGCGUUGGAGGGCCUUGCUGGGGCUGGGGCUGGGGAGAAGGGAUUCCAACCCUACUGAUAAUUCGUUUGGAAACACCGGGCUGUGGAUUUCAGAAGUUCUUGGGCAGCCUGAUUACCACUGGCAGUGAGCCGGGGACGAAGCCGAAGCUAUGAGUGACAGACGGAAAGAACUGGGGGCUUUGGUGAACCAGAGAACACUUAGCUCCUCCAGCCCUGAAGCAGGCGUCACCGCAGGGCUUAUGGUCCUAAGAGCCACUUAGUUUCCUUAUUCAUUAAACUAGUUUAAUUUGGGUUUUCUGCAUCCUGGAGGACACCAAGUCGGUGUGCGGAGGGACCCUGUAGACACGUGUGCAAAGAAUAAGCCGACGAUCAUGGAAUUUCUGAUGACGCCACUGACACGUGGGAUGGAGGCCUCCUUCCCAGGGCACCCCUACACUCAUGACAAUGAAUCCUGGCUCUUAUUCACCCCUUUGGAUUUCACAAGCAAGUAACACAAUGUGAACCCUGGGAAUUCAAGGCUGAAUAGUACGAAGUCCUUUCCUCACAGAGUUCAGGACCCAGGAGUGGAGGCCAGAUAAGGAUACGCUGUCUCUUCAUAGAAACUUUCUCCAGUGCUCGCCUGCCCACAGACCUGGUUAGAGGCCCCGCUUUUUAUGGCCCCCCGGACUUAACCACGUCACAGAAAUCAUCACAUUGUGUUGAGCCUCCUGGGUUUCUUUGGACUGGAAGCUCCCUGAGGGCAGGGUUAUCUUGUUCGUCCUUUCAUCCCCAGGGCCUGGCAUAAGACCUGGCGAAGAGCUGCUGCAUGCUAAAGCUUUGCUAAUUGAAUGACUGUGUGUUAUUUCUUAAAUUCAAUGAGAAAUCACUCUACAAAGUCCAGGAGAAUGAAAGUCUCAAUAACCGAGCUUUCUCUCCCCUGAGCACCUACACAGGAAACUCAAUUACAGUUGCAAGAGGCCUCGAAGACCUGCAGGAUUUAGAAGAAUCCAGGCAUCUCCGGGCCCCUGGCUGGGGCUUCUGCAUCUGACAAUAGAGAUGGCUUUGCUCAGGGGAAGAAUACUUUGGGCUCUGACUCACUCCAUGAGCACUGGGUAAGCAACGUCCACCUUGGUGGCUCUUGCUAUAAUUUGUCUGUGUGUUCAGACCCAGUCCUUCCCUCCCAAACUGCUGACAGCGGUUUUCUUCGGUUAUGCUAAUAUCCCCCACUAUGUUCAAGUUGAGUUUUGUAGACAUGCCAGCUGCUCUGUUUCUUUACGUUGAUUUUCUCGCUCUGCCCUAAUAUGUGCUCAUUUCAUAGGUGGACUCUCUACAAUCAAUCUUUUAAUUUUUUAAAUGUUCAAGUUAUUGAGGGACACCUUCCUGAGAGGCGUCCAUUGUAAACGACAGCUUAUCACUGAUAUUAUCAUAUGAAAGCUAUUGUUGUAGGACUUUCUCUUUAGGGCCCAUGUCACAUGGCCAUGAGAGAUUAGGGUCACAGAGAUUUUGAAGGGUGAGAAAAAUGGAAUUUAUCGGGCC
RNAcentral lists this long non-coding RNA (2779 nucleotides) under Homo sapiens (human). RNAcentral describes it as "HSALNT0206693". The record is from RNAcentral. Lineage: Eukaryota; Metazoa; Chordata; Mammalia; Primates; Hominidae.